RNAcentral lists this ribosomal RNA (274 nucleotides) under uncultured bacterium. Its description in RNAcentral is "partial 16S ribosomal RNA". It matches the Rfam family "Bacterial small subunit ribosomal RNA", at positions 523 to 796 of the family's 1533-position model. The record is from RNAcentral.
AUACGAAGGUCCCAAGCGUUGUUCGGAUUUACUGGGCGUAAAGCGUGCGUAGGCGGCAAGGUAAGUCAGAUGUGAAAUCCCGGGGCUCAACCCCGGAACUGCAUCCGAUACUGCCUUGCUAGAGUAAUGGAGGGGCAUCUGGAAUUCAUGGUGUAGCAGUGAAAUGCGUAGAUAUCAUGAGGAACACUAGUGGCGAAGGCGAGAUGCUGGACAUUUACUGACGCUGAGGUACGAAGGCCAGGGUAGCGAAAAGGAUUAGAAACCCUAGUAGUCC